Molecule: unclassified non-coding RNA, 404 nt
Filed under: soil metagenome
Description: partial contains 5.8S ribosomal RNA, internal transcribed spacer 2, and large subunit ribosomal RNA
Rfam family: 5.8S ribosomal RNA (bases 1-122)
Source: RNAcentral
GAUGAAGAACGUAGCAAAAUGCGAUACUUGGUGUGAAUUGCAGAAUCCCGUGAACCAUCGAGUUUUUGAACGCAAGUUGCGCCCGAAGCCUUUUGGCCGAGGGCACGUCUGCCUGGGCGUCACGCAUCGCGUCGCCCCCCACAAUUCUCCGUAAAGGGGACGUGUGUUUUGGGGGCGGAUAUUGGUCUCCCGUGCUCAUGGCGUGGUUGGCCGAAAUAGGAGUCCUUUCGAUGGACGCACGAACUAGUGGUGGUCGUAAAAACCCUCGUCUUUUGUUUCGUGCUGUUGCUCGCAAGGUAAACUCUUUAAAAACCCCAAUGUGUCGUCUCUUGACGACGCUUCGACCGCGACCCCAGGUCAGGCGGGACUACCCGCUGAGUUUAAGCAUAUCAAUAAGCGGAGGA